RNAcentral lists this ribosomal RNA (468 nucleotides) under uncultured bacterium. Its description in RNAcentral is "partial 16S ribosomal RNA". It matches the Rfam family "Bacterial small subunit ribosomal RNA", at positions 28 to 507 of the family's 1533-position model. The record is from RNAcentral.
GACGAACGCUGGCGGCGUGCUUAACACAUGCAAGUCGAACGGAAAGGCACUGCUUUUGUGGGGUGCUCGAGUGGCGAACGGGUGAGUAACACGUGAGUAACCUGCCCUUGACUUUGGGAUAAGUUCAGGAAACUGGGGCUAAUAUCGGAUAGGAGCUCCUGCUGCAUGGUGGGGGUUGGAAAGUUUCGGCGGUUGGGGAUGGACUGGCGGCUUAUCAGCUAGUUGGUGGGGGAGUGGCUGACCAAGGCUUUGACGGGUAGCCGGCCUGAGAGGGUGACCGGCCACAUUGGGACUGAGAUAGGGCCCAGACUCCUACGGGGGACAGCAGGGGGGAGUAUGGCACAAUGGGCGGGAGCCGGUGGCAGCAACGCCGCGUGCGGGAUGACGGCCUUCGGGUUGUGAACCGCUUUCGCCUGUGACGAAGCGUGAGUGACGGUAAUGGGUAAAGAAGCACCGGCUAACUACGUG